RNAcentral lists this long non-coding RNA (265 nucleotides) under Ananas comosus (pineapple). Its description in RNAcentral is "long non-coding RNA (ACOM_LNC039894)". The record is from RNAcentral. Lineage: Eukaryota; Viridiplantae; Streptophyta; Magnoliopsida; Poales; Bromeliaceae.
UCUCUUUUGUCUUCUAGAGAGAGAGAGGGAGAGAAGAGAGUGUGAGAGGGGUGAAAAUGAGAGAAAAUCUCAUUUACCCCAUUACUAUACUCAAUGGGCUGCAAAAAUGCAAAUAAACCCCUCAACUUUCACUUUAAUACACUGCCCGAACUGGGCAUUCCGCGCAGGCAGAGACCGGUCUCCCCGAGCAGGGACCGGUUCCCGAACGUUGUCCCAGCGCAGCCAGAGCUGCUGCGCGCAGUGCAACCGGUCUCUCCUUAUGGGA